RNAcentral lists this ribosomal RNA (520 nucleotides) under uncultured bacterium. RNAcentral describes it as "bacterial SSU rRNA". It matches the Rfam family "Bacterial small subunit ribosomal RNA", at positions 29 to 526 of the family's 1533-position model. The record is from RNAcentral.
AACGAACGCUGGCGGCGUGCCUAACACAUGCAAGUCGAGCGAGAAAGUCCGCAAGGAUGAGUAAAGCGGCGCACGGGUGCGUAACACGUGGGUAAUUUUCCUUGGAGCCCGGAAUAACUCCCCGAAAGGGGUGCUAAUGCCGGAUAAGCCCCCGGGAGCUUCGGCUCCUGAGGGAAAAGGUGGCCUCUGCACGCAAGCUAUCACUCCUAGAUGAGCCCGCGGCCCAUCAGCUAGUUGGCGGGGUAACGGCCCACCAAGGCUACGACGGGUAGCUGGUCUGAGAGGACGAUCAGCCACACUGGAACUGAGACACGGUCCAGACUCCUACGGGAGGCAGCAGUGGGGAAUCUUGCGCAAUGGGCGAAAGCCUGACGCAGCAACGCCGCGUGUGUGAUGAAGGUCUUCGGAUCGUAAAGCACUGUCGGGAGGGACGAAUAAGGCCGGAGCUAACAUCUCCGAUCGAUGACGGUACCUCCAAAGGAAGCACCGGCUAACUCUGUGCCAGCAGCCGCAGUAACAC